CCUACGGGUGGCUGCAGUGGGGAAUAUUGCACAAUGGGCGCAAGCCUGAUGCAGCCAUGCCGCGUGUGUGAAGAAGGCCUUCGGGUUGUAAAGCACUUUCAGCGGGGAGGAAGGCGGUGAGGUUAAUAACCUCAUCGAUUGACGUUACCCGCAGAAGAAGCACCGGCUAACUCCGUGCCAGCAGCCGCGGUAAUACGGAGGGUGCAAGCGUUAAUCGGAAUUACUGGGCGUAAAGCGCACGCAGGCGGUCUGUCAAGUCGGAUGUGAAAUCCCCGGGCUCAACCUGGGAACUGCAUUCGAAACUGGCAGGCUAGAGUCUUGUAGAGGGGGGUAGAAUGCCAGGUGUAGCGGUGAAAUGCGUAGAGAUCUGGAGGAAUACCGGUGGCGAAGGCGGCCCCCUGGACAAAGACUGACGCUCAGGUGCGAAAGCGUGGGGAGCAAACAGGAUUAGAUACCCCAGUAGUC
This 465-nucleotide ribosomal RNA is filed under the name uncultured Klebsiella sp. Its description in RNAcentral is "bacterial SSU rRNA". It matches the Rfam family "Bacterial small subunit ribosomal RNA", at positions 338 to 795 of the family's 1533-position model. The record is from RNAcentral. Lineage: Bacteria; Pseudomonadati; Pseudomonadota; Gammaproteobacteria; Enterobacterales; Enterobacteriaceae.